AGAGUUUGAUCAUGGCUCAGAGCGAACGCUGGCGGCAGGCCUAACACAUGCAAGUCGAGCGCCCCGCAAGGGGAGCGGCAGACGGGAGAGUAACACGUGGGAACGUACCCUUCAGUUCGGAACAACCCAGGGAAACUUGGGCUAAUACCGAAUACGUCCGUAAGGAGAAAGAUUUAUCGCUGAAGGAUCGGCCCGCGUCUGAUUAGCUAGUUGGUGAGGUAACGGCUCACCAAGGCGACGAUCAGUAGCUGGUCUGAGAGGAUGAUCAGCCUCACUGGGACUGAGACACGGCCCAGACUCCUACGGGAGGCAGCAGUGGGGAAUAUUGGACAAUGGGCGCAAGCCUGAUCCAGCCAUGCCGCGUGGGUGAUGAAGGCCCUAGGGUUGUAAAGCCCUUUCGGCGGGGAAGAUAAUGACGGUACCCGCAGAAGAAGCCCCGGCUAACUUCGUGCCAGCAGCCGCGGUAAUACGAAGGGGGCUAGCGUUGCUCGGAAUCACUGGGCGUAAAGCGCACGUAGGCGGCUUUUUAAGUCAGGGGUGAAAUCCUGGAGCUCAACUCCAGAACUGCCUUUGAUACUGAGAAGCUUGAGUCCGGGAGAGGUGAGUGGAACUGCGAGUGUAGAGGUGAAAUUCGUAGAUAUUCGCAAGAACACCAGUGGCGAAGGCGGCUCACUGGCCCGGUACUGACGCUGAGGUGCGA
Molecule: ribosomal RNA, 700 nt
Filed under: uncultured bacterium
Lineage: Bacteria
Description: bacterial SSU rRNA
Rfam family: Bacterial small subunit ribosomal RNA
Source: RNAcentral